UGGUGGCUACUUUCUUGGGUGAGAGUGCUCAACAAGAAAGAGUCGCACUGUGAUUCUGUGUUAGAUUGCCGAGUAUCUACAAGGAUCAGAGGGUGAUCAAUAGGAAAGAGAUCAUUAAGAUAGAUAGGUUUCGGGGAUGAAACUGGACAAUCUGUAAUUGAUUCUUUCUAUUGGAGAAGAAAAUCUGAAAUCCGAUUGGAUUUUCAGGACUGGAUGUAGGUUGUCAAGUUGACAACUGAACCAGUAUAAAUUCUUGGUGCAAUCUUCUCUAACCCUUAACUCCUUUAAUUUUCUAUCUUGCAAUAUCUGUAUAUGUGAUUAAUAUUAGAUGCAUGUUAAACAUAUUCUG
This 349-nucleotide long non-coding RNA is filed under the name Cicer arietinum (chickpea). Its description in RNAcentral is "long non-coding RNA (CARI_LNC003048)". The record is from RNAcentral. Lineage: Eukaryota; Viridiplantae; Streptophyta; Magnoliopsida; Fabales; Fabaceae.